AAUUGAUAAAUUCUACUGCGAGUGUAUCAUAUGUAUCGGAAUCAUACCUUUGAAAUGCUUCAUCUAAUUACACAAUGUCUCCUUGAUUUAAACUAUCUCCGUAUAUAAGUUCUUUUUCGAUAGUUGUUAUGCACAAAGGAUACAUUCCAAAUUCUCUGUUCUCUUUUUUCAAUUCUACAUACACUCUGUAACCCAUAUCAUUGUGUGUUUUCAUUGGUGUGCGAUUCCCUUCUACAGUGUAUUGUAUUUUAAUGGUCUUUGAGCUCAAAUCUAUACCAACUUGACUAGAAAUUGAAGCAACUAGAUCAUUAAAGGAGGCAUACUCCAUAAUAAGUAUUCGCUCAAUUGAAAAGUCGAUGUAAUUGCCCUCAUCGUUCCACUUACCAGAAUGAUGCAACAAAAGUAUUAAAUUUGCCAUAUGAUAGAGGAGUUAUAUCUUCUGUUGUAUAUAAUUUGUAUCAACCGAAAAGAAGGAGAAGAGACGGCAGAAUAUCGAAAAACAGAGCUUUGUUUUUUUGCUUUUUCACGUUUCUGGGUUUCUUUCUUUGACAAGAAUACAACUUAAUGAGGUAUCUUUCAAGUUUGUUGAGUAAAAUUAGGAAAAUAUAAUUUGAUUAAAUUUCCUUCCGUUUUUAAAAUUUAAAACCUUCAAUCUGUUGCGCAGAUACGUUACUGUAUUUAACUUUAAUGGGGUUUGAAUACAGUUAAAUACAUAUCAAAAUUAGCUGGCAUUCCUGUUUUAUCGCAUAUUUUUUUGGUUGUAUUAUUAAAUAAAACAGCUUAAAUACAUGAAAUACAUUGUAUAUUUUGAUAAAAGAUAUCUGUAACACGUAAC
This 835-nucleotide long non-coding RNA is filed under the name Nicotiana benthamiana. RNAcentral's name for it is "long non-coding RNA (NBEN_LNC019021)". The record is from RNAcentral. Lineage: Eukaryota; Viridiplantae; Streptophyta; Magnoliopsida; Solanales; Solanaceae.